Panicum virgatum (switchgrass) is the source of this 1312-nucleotide long non-coding RNA. RefSeq lists it as uncharacterized. NCBI's taxonomy places the organism in Eukaryota, Viridiplantae, Streptophyta, Magnoliopsida, Poales, Poaceae. The transcript is spliced from 2 exons. The record is from RefSeq and is a predicted model, not a curated record.
UCCAUCGACCGAGCACCAGAGCUAGCGGAUCACCAACUUCAAAGCAUAUUCCCCUAGUCCAUCGGACGGGCUCCAUCGGCCAAUUCUGACUCUGUGCAUCUUUUGAUUUCUUCCAAAUCGGCCACCUUCCCUUUACGAAAAUUACCCUUCUUGACACGUGUCCAAAAAUGGUGUCAACACAUAUCCCUUAGUUUCAGAAUAAUUUAUUUUAUUCCGAAACUACUCCAACCAACAUUUAAAGCCAUUCCUCGUGCCCCGUGCACACGGCUUACACCGGACAACUGGGUAAAACUCUUCUUUGCCCCUGAUCUUUCGCCUUCUGUCCGUGCAAACUCAACGCGCCGAUUUACCUUCCGUCUUUUCACCUACCCAGACUGGGCCAUAAAUAUUACCUUCCGUUCUUGUAUCGGCAACAAGCCUCCAUUAGCUACAGCACCUCCCCUCUUCCUUCUUCAGCAAAAAAACCUUAGGUCUUCCUGUAGCAAUGGCAGGCUCCAAGCGCCCCGACGAGGGUCCUUCUGAUGCCCCGCAGGCAAUCUGCCGCCGCGUGGAGUAAGCCCCCUUUCUUCCAUCUAGGAUUGCCACGCUUUUGUUCAACUUAGAUCUCUAAUUUCUCUGCCUCUUUUCUGUGAAGUGACGAUGCUUCUUCCGGUUCCUCCAACUCGGAGGGACCCCCGUUUCUGGUGUUCUUGAGAGCACCAAGGAGUACAUUCGCCAGCUCCUUCGCGAGAAGGAUGAAGCUCAACAAAACUAUUCCCAGGAGACCAUCUGGUCUCAACGUCUUGCCAACGAACUGGAGGCGGCGCAGUCCGAUCGGGCAGUUCUCCAGGCCCAGUUUACCGCCGCCGACUCCAGGGUUGCCUUCUUGGAGUCGCAGGUCCAAGCUCUACACGCCGCAACUGCCACCGCAACUAGAUCGGUGAAUGCUCGCGGCGACACCGUCGUUGCCUGCCUGUAGGACAUCCCCAACCUCGUCCGGGAGGUCGCCGGACAUGGGGUCUAUCGCGGCGCCGCUGUAGCCCUCGCUACAACCCAGUUCCAGACUGGCCACGACCUCUUGCAGGUCGAACCGGUCCACCUCCCGCUAGGCAGUGAAGACUGGUGGGCCUUUGAGGAGCUCGCUGACGACAUGGAGAUGGUAGCUGCUGCCAUCUCCGAAGAUGUUAGUAUAGAGGCGGUCAUCGGCAAUGUCUUUGCCGAUGAUUAGAUUUCUAGGAGUAGCACCUUCCUAGAAAUAACUUUUGCUGUAUCGGCCAGAUCAUCUGAUCAGCCCUUUUGUAAACAAUAUUAUUAAUGAAGUAUUUCCUUUUCC